Molecule: ribosomal RNA, 460 nt
Filed under: uncultured bacterium
Lineage: Bacteria
Description: partial 16S ribosomal RNA
Rfam family: Bacterial small subunit ribosomal RNA
Source: RNAcentral
CCUACGGGAGGCAGCAGUGAGGAAUAUUGGUCCAUGGACGAGAGUCUGAACCAGCCAAGUAGCGUGAAUGAUUACUGCCCUAUGGGUUGUAAACUUCUUUUAUAUGGGAAUAAAAUGUUCCACGUGUGGGAUUUUGUAUGUACCAUAUGAAUAAGGAUCGGCUAACUCCGUGCCAGCAGCCGCGGUAAUACGGAGGAUCCGAGCGUUAUCCGGAUUUAUUGGGUGUAAAGGGAGCGUAGGUGGAUUGUUAAGUCAGUUGUGAAAGUUUGGGGCUCAACCGUAAAAUUGCAGUUGAAACUGGCAGUCUAGAGUACAGUAGAGGUGGGCGGAAUUCGUGGUGUAGCGGUGAAAUGCUUAGAGAUCACGAAGAACUCCGAUUGCGAAGGCAGCUCACGGGACUGCAACUGACACUGAGGCUCGAAAGUGUGGGUAUCAAACAGGAUUAGAUACCCUUGUAGUC